Long non-coding RNA from Populus euphratica (Euphrates poplar), 661 nucleotides. RefSeq lists it as uncharacterized. The transcript is spliced from 2 exons. NCBI's taxonomy places the organism in Eukaryota, Viridiplantae, Streptophyta, Magnoliopsida, Malpighiales, Salicaceae. The record is from RefSeq and is a predicted model, not a curated record.
CUUUUGCAAGACCAUAUUGGCGGCCUCCAUGUAUUUCACCAAGAUCACUGGGUUGAUGCCCCUCCAAUUGCUGGAGCUUUUGUAGUUAUCAUCGGUGAUUUACUACAGCAAGUUCCAGAUUUCUGAGCACAGGGUGCAGGCUAAUCACAUCGGUCCAAGAAUAUCAGUUGCGAGCUUCUUCGCAAUCUAUGACUGGAUUUGUGCUCCGUUAAAAGAGCUGAUAUCAGAUGAAAAUCCCCUGCACAGGGAGGUUCCGCUGAAAGACUACACUGUUCAAUACAGGUGGAAAGAACGUGAUGGUGGCAUCCCUACACUUGAUCGUUUCAGGUUGUGAUUUUGAAAAUGAGAACACACUGAAAUUACCCUGUUCAUUUCAUAUGGUCAUCAGAGACCGUUAAAAAUUCAGUAAAUUUUCCUUCUUGGCAACCUGAAGGCUGUCAAAGAACUCUUUUGGCGACGCUAUAAGAUUUGAAUUGUGAUAAUUUAAUCAUCAAGACUUAGUAUUGUUAUCUAAUAAAGCAUCUAAAUUUUUAAUUUCGACAUCAACAAAACCCUGAAAGUACUUAUAUCUGUCGGUGUUGAAAUAAGCAUUGUUGCGACUGCGAACCUGCGCAUAGUAUUUUGUUGUUUAUGUGAAUUGCAAUUACACUCUUGAAGAAAA